AAAACGGUCCUUUUCAGGACCACAAUAAAGUUCAUAAAGAUCUUUA
This is a non-coding RNA of Lutzomyia longipalpis, 46 nucleotides long. NCBI's taxonomy places the organism in Eukaryota, Metazoa, Arthropoda, Insecta, Diptera, Psychodidae. The record is from Rfam.